Long non-coding RNA from Pan troglodytes (chimpanzee), 3511 nucleotides. RefSeq lists it as uncharacterized. The transcript has 3 exons. The record is from RefSeq and is a predicted model, not a curated record. Lineage: Eukaryota; Metazoa; Chordata; Mammalia; Primates; Hominidae.
AUGGGAAUAAAAGCAGGCUGCUGGAGCCAGUAAUGGUGACACCCUUGGGUUGUUCUCCGUGGUGUGGAGGCUUUGUUCUUUUGCUCUUUGUGAUAGAUGUAAUUGCUGCUCACUCUUCGGGUCUGUACUGCGUUUAUGAGCUGUGACACUCGCCGCGAAGGUCUGCAGCUUCACUUCUGAGCCAGCGAGAGGAGGAACCCACCAGAAGGAAGAAAACGCGGAACACAUCCGAACAUCAGAAGGAACAAACUCCAGACACGCCGCCUUUAAGAACUGUAACAGUCACCGCGAGGGUCCGUGGUUUCAUUCUUGAAGUAAGUGAGACCAAGAACCUGCCAAUUUCAGACACAAUGGAGAGCGCCAGUCCUGCUGCGGGGCCAUACAUGUAUUUAAUUUGCUCUCAUCUUCCCCCUCUUCCGAGAGGAAGGUGCUUUCACCUGCACUGUUCCCAUGAGGAAAUGAGGCUUCGGGAAUCUGAUAAAGCUUCCAAACUCCCGUGGCCGGCAGGAACCAAGGUUUCGAUGGCCGGACUUUUCAGCUCCCCAGGCGGAAAAGCAGGAGGCAUGAUAGAUGAGGGUGAGAGUGCAUGUCAGGUCAGGCUGAGAAGACGAUAAUGCCAUAUGGUUUUUUCCACUUAGCUUAGCUCCAGGAUGACUUUGAACAGUGUUACAGCCCCAUGGGCAGAAAAUUGCACUUGCCUCAAGCUUCAUUAAAGCAAAUCGAGUCAGAAGGGAUUGAAACACCUGGAAGAAAUACAAUGGAUUCAAACAGGGAAAAGGUGUGGGUCCGUUCCUUUUCCUGGUAAAUCCAGCAGCCUAGGAGACGUCACAAAAACAUUCCAAGGCUCCUGGACUUUUAAAGAGGCUAAGGAUGGGGCCUGCCAGGUACAGGAUGGCCCAUGCAGGUGGAGACGCAGCCACAGGAUACCUGGGUUUCAUUGCAGCCUCGUCACUUACCAGUGUUGGGACUGUAUCAGUUAUCCCGAAUUUAACAGCCUAAAGCCAUAUUCGUCAUCUUAUACUCUGUAGGGGUAGGGAAUCCAGGAGUGGUUUCACCAGGAGGUUCUGGCUGGGUGUCUCCCCGGAGCCGCAGGCGAGUGUGGGCCGUGGCAGCCAUCCCUGUUUCCAAGCGCACCGUGUGGUAGUUGGCUUGAGGCUCCAGGUCCUUGAGGUGCAGGCUUCCCCACGGGGCUGCUCGCGGCAUGGCUUCCUCACCCAGAGUGAUGGAUCCGAGAGAGAGCAGCCGAAUUGAAAGCCACAGCCUUUUGUAAGCAAACCUCAGAAGUGACAUCUCGUCACAUCUGCCAUAUUCUACUGGUCGCACAGACCUAUCCCGCUACAUGGAAGGAGCAGCAGGAAGGUGGUGGGGACUGCUGGGACCAUCUUGGAGGCUGCCACAGACAUCCAAGCCCCUCCAGGCAGGACAAACCAGGAUGAGAGGACAGUGUCGGGGUGUAGCUGCCACCACCCAGUGUCGUCCAAGGAAAAUGGAGCAACCACAUCCUGCACGGCAACACCAGGUGGCCAAGCCAGAGCGUGGGACCACUUGCCGCUUCCCACCCACAGCAAAGAGGAGUGCAGGCUCUGCUGAUUCUCACGCACGUACAAGACAGACUUCUUUUCGGUAAAGAAAGGAAGGAAAGCGCUGCAGGUUCCACCAGAGGCUUUUAUUUCAGCCACUCAGGACCCUGGCUUUCUGCUCCAAGGCACUGAACACAGUCAGGCUCUUCUAAACACUGGCAGGGACCUCUCCCACAGCCGCCCCCACAGGGUUCUCUGUUUCCCAAGUCCUGAUGGAUUCAGGCAACACCUUCACACAUUCACCCACUACCUGCUGGACAGGAGGGUCAUGAGGCAGCCUGUGGUGCCCAGCUCAGUGUGACACACUGCCAGUGUGCCGCCUCCCCCAGCCUCUGAUGGGGGGCCAGGCCUUGACCACGUGACAGGCUCAAGCUGCCGUGCACAUCCCCCACGAAAGGGGAAGAGCUGCUAAGGUUUAGCAGUGACCAAACAAAUAAGAAAUGCUACUGUGGAGGUUACACAGAUGCUUAUUUAGUUUUUAAACAAAUCCAACACAAAAGAAAGAGGCAACAGGGUGCUUGAAGGUAGGGGAGGAGAGGGAAUCUCAUCUGUAAAGUGCUUUUCCAGACACCGGAACCUCCUAGUCUAGCCUGGCACACCCACGUCACUCGGAAAGGUCGGGCUCAGGGUGGAGAUGGCAUGCAAUUCCCAACACACUUGGUAUUCAGAGUGGACAGAGCUACACAGCAGCCUCCCCUUUGUCGGGGUCCACGCAAUCUACACGUGGUCGCAAGGUCUCUGCAGCCACAGUCUGCACACGUGGGCACAGACGGCACUGGUGCAUGCCUGUCGGGCUGGGGCCACACUGGGGAAGGGCCUCACAGCAACAUGCACUGGAAGCUCCUCGUGGCGGACCAUCCUCAGGCCGCCGACAGGAACGGGAAGAAAAAGAAGUCGAAGGCGAACUUCACGGCGCCAUGCACGGUGCUGCGCCAGUCGUGCUCGAUCUUUACGUGCCGCCUGGUGGGCGAGAGCUGGGCCAUGCAGUUGAGGCAGCUGAUGGCCUUGAGCUCGAAGACAGGCCACUUGCUGCCCAGGCGGCCCUCCAGGAUGGUGCUGAACUCGAUGAGGCUGCCCUGGCGCAGGCUGAGCAGCACGCUCUUGAACUCGCUGCUGGCCCGCAGCACGAUGUCCUUGGUCACGUCAUCCUCCUCGCGGCUGCGCGAGCCGUCGGCGCCGCUGCUGAAGGGCAUGCCCACGGUGAUCUCAAACUUGUAGCGGUCGAACUUCUUGAUGUGGCAGGGGUGCUUGGCCAGCAGCUUAAGGCGACAGAGCUCCUCCUCGGCCGUGGAGGUGUUGCCAGGGCUGCAGGCAGGGUAGGCCUCGCCGUAGAGGCAGCGCAUCCAGUCGCCGAUGAAGAACGGGAGCAUGUUGAUGGCAGACUCGGCGCUGUUGUCGAUGUCAGUCACGCGGACGUACUUGAAGCGGCCGGUCCACGUGACCCUGUGGCCCUCCAGGUGGCUGCAGAGGAUCUGGGUGCGCGCCAUGUUGGUCUCCUUCCAGGCGCGUGGCCCGCACAGCGCACCAUACUGCUGCCAGGUCAGUGUGGAGUUGUAGACCUUCAUGCCCUCUGAGCGGUACACAUAGAACCAGCAGAACAGCACGAUGGCCGUGAGCCACACCAGGAUGAGCUUGACCAUGGAGCUCCGCGUCAGGGACUUCACCAUCCCCACCACAGAGAAGCUGGCCUUGGUCCACCAGCGCAACAGCAGGGGCACACUACAGACCGCCACGGUGACUGCGAUCUUGGUGAGCUCCAGAGACGUGAACCACCGGGCGAACUGCAGCACGCCCACCAGGGCCAGGCCGGCCACCAGGAUGGGGAGGGCAAAGAGGAAGAGGAAGUAGCCGAUGGAGGCGCGGAGCAGCCCCAGGCCGGUGGACUCCAGCAGGAUGACCACGGAGAGCUCACACCACAUGAAGCACACCAG